UUUAAAUUGACAUGGCUUCCCCCAAAGUAUCCUGGGAAGUGUAGUUCAGGAAGGUUGCUGAGAGUUGUAAAGCGACUUCUAUUCUACAGUCUCCAGAGUGGUUAAACAGUCACUCCCUCUUCCAAGAAAACUCGAAUUGUAACUCUGUGAGACAAAUAAGGAUCUCCUAACAACUCUCAGCACCUUUCACAAACUACACUUCCUAGGAUUCUUGGGGGGGGGGGAGAGAGAGAGCUAUGACUAUCUAAAUUGGAAUAAAUGUAGUCCAAGCCUGAGAAGUACACCUUAAGGAGGAGAAGCAGGAAUAUAAAAAGCUACCUUAUACAGAGUCAGGCAUUGGUCCAUCUAGCUCAGUACUGUCUACUCUGACUAGCAGCGGCUCUCCAAGGCUUUAGACAAAUUUCUCUUCCAGCCCUAGGUAGAGAUGCUGGAGACUGAACCUCGGACCUUCAGACGCUAGCUUUGAGCUACUGGCCCUUCCCCGGCUUAAUUAAGAAGGAUCAAGGGAUCUUCUAGCGCCAUGACCGCGACCGAAAAGACGAUCGGACGGACCUGCCCCGCCCAAAAUAUCUCCUCCCUCACCUGAGGGUUGUGAUCGGCGUCAAAGGGAUUCCCGAUGUACAUAUCAAAGCCCUUAUCCAACAGCCCCUUGGCUGUGCCAGCGAUGCGGACUCCCCGAGCAGAAAGCCCCGGAUCAGCCGCUUCAUCGCCAUCAGUCAUCGCCGAGCUGUGCGCGGAGAAAGUUGCAGGAAUCGCCAGCAGCCGCCUCACUCUCAGAGAACAAAAGCAAGCAGCGAGACACGAAGGGAGGAGCAACUGCCAGGAAGAAGCGCCAGCAACGCGCCUUCUUAGCCGGUGCGAACAGAAUGAAAGGAGGCGCCUUUUUGAAGCCGCCUCGCCGGUUCUUUCCCGCCCAGAUGCCCUGACUGAGUCUCCCGUCCGCUCCGCCCUCGCUCCCCCUUCUUCCCCGUGUUAUUUAUUUUAUUUUUUUGUGAAGGGGGAGGGGAAAAGAUGGAUUCCUCCCGAUUGAUUAUUCAAGCAAGCCGGGCGGGGUUUAGCUCUAUUGGUGUUCAGCUCAUUUGGUGGAUGGGCAAUCGAAAGCAAUAUUCCAGAUCUUAUUGACUGUCCCAUUCGGAACAUCGUCCGCACGGAUACGUUGACUUUUCCACAAAAGAAAGGCAUUUGUGAAAUGCAACAGUCCAUAAGUAGGAAUGGAUCCUGCCCAGUGCCUCAACCACCACAGCAGCGAAACACCCCACUUCCCUGCCACUGCAACCAAUCUUGGCAAACCAAUUGAACAUUCUGCAGUCGGAUGUCAUUGCAAAAUAUCCGCUCCUGCUAUAACCAGCAGAAAUGAAGCAAUGCCUACAGAGAACAACAUCAAAGUGAAGCUGAGGAUGGCCUGAGAUCAGAGCAAGAUCAUUGUCCCAGACAAUUGUUUCCUCUUCAAUCACAACGUAGCCAGCCACUGAUUAUGCAGAUGCCUGUACGGUAUGAAGAAAUACACCCAAAAUUCCACUUUCGUCCUCUCCAACCUAUGUUAUGCAUUCUCAAAAUUUUUAAAUAUACUUUAAAAGAAAGGAAAUGCUACCCUACUAACGCUGAAAUCCAUCAGGUCUAACUCCUUUCUGCAGUAGGUUACAAACAUCCAAGAAUACUAAGGCUGCAAUCCAAUAGAUGUCUACUCAGAAGUAUGCUCCACUGAGUUCAAUGGGACUUACUCCCAGGUAAGUGUAUAUUGGAAUGCAGCCUAAGUAAAUUUCUUUACUGCCUUGGAUUCUGUGGUGUGUAGAAAAGACAAUAACUAAUCAGGUUGACAGUCUACCAUAAUGAAUCUGACAACUGAUAUAAAUGCCUAAAAAUCUUAAUAUGCAUUGUACAACCCCCCCCCAGCUUUCAUACUGGCAAGGUAUUUUAGUUUAAUAUGUAUUUCACUUGUACAAACUGAUCUGAGAUUUCUUGUAAUGUAUAUUGUAAAGAAGUAUUAACGAGUAAACAAAAGAAUACAUUCAAACACAUACAUGCAGAGUCUACAAAAGAUCACUUUCUUCUUGAGAUGUACCUUAUACCCUCUCUGUGCAGCUACAUGCCCAUUCUCGUGGCCCUCAUCACUUACCCACAUCUCAUUUUUUUAGAAAGUGUAAGUCAAGCAUAGAAACACAAAUACUGUAACUAUCAGAAUGCUUUAUUCUCAGUGCUGCAUUUGUGUUUCCUUGAGUUACAUUUCCAAAGUAAAAAACAACUCUGAAA
Molecule: long non-coding RNA, 2250 nt
Organism: Rhineura floridana
Lineage: Eukaryota; Metazoa; Chordata; Lepidosauria; Squamata; Rhineuridae
Exons: 3
Source: RefSeq, a predicted model, not a curated record